RNAcentral lists this unclassified non-coding RNA (380 nucleotides) under soil metagenome. RNAcentral describes it as "partial contains 5.8S ribosomal RNA, internal transcribed spacer 2, and large subunit ribosomal RNA". The stretch from base 1 to 120 matches the Rfam family "5.8S ribosomal RNA", at positions 35 to 154 of the family's 154-position model. The record is from RNAcentral.
GAUGAAGAACGUAGCGAAAUGCGAUAAGUAAUGUGAAUUGCAGAAUUCAGUGAAUCAUCGAAUCUUUGAACGCACCUUGCACCCUUUGGCAUUCUGAAGGGUAUGCUCGUUUGAGUGUCAUUGUACUCUCACACUCCCGAUCUUUGCAUUGGGAGCAGUGGACUUGGGUUUGCUGCUUCACCGUCGCUUACCUCAAAUAGGUUAGUGCAACUCUUGGUUGGACAUAGUACGGCGUGAUAAGUGUUCUUCGCCGGUGCCACGCAAAGAGGGUGGCCGAUCGGGAUGUUGUGCUCCAAACCGUCUUCGGACAAUCUCUGACGACUUGACCUCAAAUCGAGUAAGACUACCCGCUGAACUUAAGCAUAUCAAUAAGCGGAGGA